RNAcentral lists this long non-coding RNA (5227 nucleotides) under Cucumis sativus (cucumber). RNAcentral's name for it is "long non-coding RNA (CSAT_LNC002293)". The record is from RNAcentral. Lineage: Eukaryota; Viridiplantae; Streptophyta; Magnoliopsida; Cucurbitales; Cucurbitaceae.
CGUGUGAUACCAUAAAUUUCUCUUUUAAAUUGUUUGAUUCAUUUUUCUUAUGUAUGCCAUCUUUGAGAUGCACUUCAAUAUUGUUCUAUCAUUCUAUCCUCAUUUGCUUGGCGCUUGCUUAAACAUCAAAACCUGCUAUUACACAAUUAUUACAUUGAAUAUGUAGAUUUGUUUUGCAAAAUGUUAACUAAAACAAGUCACUUAAGAUACUAGCAUAUUAGGAGACCUGAUAAGAAUCACACAUUAGAUACUAGUAGAUUGGAAGAUCGAUUAAAAUCACACAUUGAUAUGCUUGAUAAUUAAUAAUAAUAAAAAAAGAACAAAGUAUUGUUUUGACAUUUGAACUAAAAAACACCAUUUCUUUUAUGGAAAAUACAAUUAUAAUUUUGAUAGUUUGGGUUUAAUUUUCGUAUGGUCUCUAGUUAUAAAAAAAUACAUUUUUACUUUUGAGUGUUUUUUUAAUUUUGUUCCUAGGUUUUAGAAUAUUAACUUUUGAGUUUUAUAAAUAUACAUCUCAUUUCCACGUUUCUUCCAUUUGAACUCCAAAUGCAAUUUUCUUUAAAUUUAAACUACUUAAACCUCUUGCUUAAAUUAUCAUGCUUGAAGAUUUCAAAUUUAUACGUGAGAAGUUCCAAAUGUAUACUCAAAGUUUAGAGAGCAAAAGGGACAACUUUACCAUUUUAUUUUUAUUAAUUAUCAGCUCAAGUCUAUGUCCCUUCUAAAAUUGGAAAUCCAUAUGUUUUUCAUCAACAACCAAACGAAAGACAUACGUGUUUACAAUAAAUAAAAUCAAUUUGAUCAAACAAAAGAUAUUUAAAAUAAUAAAAUAGAAUACAUUGUACUAAAUUGUUGGCGUUUUCAUCAUAGAUUUAAUAUUAACCUAAACAGUGAAUACUUUUGUUAUAUCAUAGAAAAUUUUAUUAAACAUAAAAAAAAAAAGCAACAUAUUCAUUACAAUAAAUACUAGAAGAUUUUUAUCUAUUAAUUUAUAAAAAAUAUUAUCCAUAAAAUUUUUGGAUAAUUAAAAUAUUUUAGUCCAUUAUUUAAAAUUAGGAAAUAUUGAUCAAUAUACAUUUGAAAGGUUAAUAGUUGAGAUUUAAAAGAAGACGUAAAACAACAGAAAAAUGGGGGGAGAGAAGGAAUAUAGAAGAGGGGGAAAUGGUGCAAUAAGCGCGUAAGGCGUAGGUAUGAGGGAUGUUGAGUCUGACUGGGAGAUUUAUUUUUCCCUACUUUAUUUGAAAUUUAGAUAUGAGGUUAGGUUAUUAAGAAAUGAAUUUUGAUAGAGAAAGGGGAUAAUGUGGCGUCGCAUUUAUGAAGGGGGGGGAAUAGUGGGCCCCAACAAAACGGGGCACACGUUGUCAGUUUGGCGUUAAAUAAAACCCAGUCGCAGUGGGUCCACUCGGGACAGUCAAACUUGUGGACACCGAACUCUCGUGAAACGUGUCCGAUAACUAUUGGAUCAUUCUUUCGACAGAUGGCAUCUCCACUUGUCCGGGACCCUUCCCCUCUCGCGUCCCAAUCCUGGAUCAUUUUCAGUUUCGGCCAAAUCCGGCCCGCUUUAUUUCCACCAGGUUCCUCAUUGAAACUCCUCUCUUGUGGGCCCCUUUUGGAAGCCUUUUUUUCUUUUUUCUUUUUUUUACAAUUCAUGGCUUUUGGAAUAUAUAUAUAUAUAUAUAUAAUAUAUAUAUAUAUAUAUAGCUGUGACACGUUACAAUUCGGGUUUUCACCUCUUGUCAUGUGUCUGAAACGGCACAGAGCAGUCAACGUUCUAUAAAAGAGCUAAUUUUAAGAUAAAAAAAAGGACUCGUCACCAGUUUUUUUCACGAUAGUCAUUUGUGUAUAAGAAAAAUGUUUGCACAUGUAAUGUUGGUCAAAUUUUAAAAUUUGAAUUGAAAAUAUUUUUUAAUUGUUAAAAAAAUUAAUUUCUUAUUUUAUCCCUCGUUACUCCAUAUUUGAAACAAUGAAUGAAGAGCAUUAUAUCAAUUAUAUAAUGAAUAAAUAUUUUUUUCACCUCAUGAGAGUGAGAAAUUAGUACAACUUCUCAUAAUUAAGUGUAGGAACAGUCUUCUAAUAAAGAGAUUUGAUAAACCAUUAAUUAAAAUCAUUUUUUCUUGAAAUCAAAUCUUAGACUUCAAAAGAUGUGAUCCUCACCUCAAGAAUUUUAGAAAAUUGGACUUUCAAAUUACUUAGAUUCUAUCGUAGUAUUUUGCUUAAGAAAAACAAUAUAAGUUAUUAAAAAAGAUUGAUUAAGAAACCUUAUAAAAUAAUAGAUUAAAUUUUGAAUGUUUGUAAAAUAUAAAAAAAGAUUAUAACUCUAAAGAAAAUUUUUUUAGUUGACUUUAAAAUGAGUUUUGGGAAAGAUUUUAAAACUUAAAAUAUUCAUAUUACAAGUGACAAUCGAAAAUUUUAAUUGGAAAGAUUUAUAAAUUUUAAACAAAAAAAAAUCAAUAAAACUAAAUAUAAAAAUUAGAUAGAUAAAACAAGAUUAAAGAAGAAACAUAACCAAUUAAGCAAAUAUAAAAUAACAUAUCGAGAUUUUAAUAAAAAUAUAUUGUACACAUGUCUCGAACUUCUAAAAGAAAUCAACUUCUUCACCUCUAGAAGUUCUAGAAAAUUAGUCUUUUCAAAUUUUCUGGAUUUCAUCGUCAGAAAUUUUAUAAAAAUAAUAUGCGCCAUAAAAGGAAUUACAAAAAAAUAAAUCUUAGACUUUCAAAUCUCUUCAAAAGAAAUUUAACAAGUAAGUAAUUAUUAAAUUGAACAUUGAAUAUGGUAAUUAAUGCAAAAGAUUGUAUAAACAACCCAUAUCAUUUAAAGAGCAUGAAUAAUAGAUUAAUGAAAAUAAAAAAUACAUAUUAACAUUUUAGGGAAAAAUGAUUGGAGAUCAAUCUCGGAUUCCAAAAGAAUCGACUCCUCACCUAAUGAAUUCUAGAAAAUCAAACUUUCAAAUUUUCUUGAUUUUGUCGUCAUAUGUUUUUUCUCAAAAGAUAAUUAAUUGAAAAUAUUUUAAAAAAACAACUAUUAACAUUUAAAUAAGCAUAUAUACAAGGAGAAAAAAUGUAAAAUAAAUAAUAAUCUAUAUGUGAGACCCGUACCUAAAAUAAAAGGGCAAAAUUUGAACAAGUACUUGAAGAAAGCGUUUUGAAUAGUACUAGGCAGUAAGAAGUAGGCGAUUAGAGUUCAUCACGAGAUGAAGCGAAGGCGAGAAAACCUAAGAACGCGAAUUGAGCUUCAUCACAAACGAAGACUAGGUAAUGAAGAGUAAGGAAACUUUUGGGAAAUUUUGUAAGAAUACUUAAUGGGCUAGAUGUAAGGGAUUAAGUCAAGCAUGAUUAAGUUAUACGCGCACCAUUAAGAGUAGAAGUUGACAAGUUAUUAAGAGGCGUAGGAUGACUAAUCAAAUUUAGGACUAGUAUAAAUAAAGGAAGAUAUUAAUUGGAUUAUUUAAAGGUUACUUUGAAAAUUUGAAGAGGAAAAGCUCAGCGCUAAGUUGUUGUGGUGAAAGGACUAUUCGAGAAGAGGAAGUAUAGGAUCGUUCUAAUUUCAAAUCAACCAAGUUUUGUGAGUGAUUUUCUUUAUGUAUUUUAAAAUGUUAAAAGCUUUCUUUUAAGAUCUUGCUAAUUUGAAAUGAUAAGAAUGUUUUCAAAGAGAUUUCAAAUUCAAGUUUAUACUAUGUUUAAAGUAUAUUUAUGUAUUUUAAAUUAAUGUGAAAUUGUGUUCAAACCAUUAUGUCUGGUUCCUAUUAAUGAGCUAACUGUUAUGUGCAUAUAAAAAGUAAAGGAAGUCAUGCAGAAAAGGACUGCAUGAUGAAAUGAGGUGGGACAGUGCAUAAAAGAUGUGUAUUGCGCUUUAGUCUAAGCAAGGAGGAAAAGGCCAAGAUAUUCUUGGAUGCUUUUCAUAGUAGUUGAAAUGCCAGAUGAUGAGUCUUAGCGUGGAUGGUUUCAAAGUUCUCGACAAAAGGAUAAUAAGACUAAUGAAUGUUAUGCGAAUUGAUAUGUUAUGAAGUAAGGCAAUGGGCCUUUUUGAAUUAAAACUUUAUGCUAUGAAAAGUGUUUCCAGAAAAGUUUUCUUAAAACCUCACUAUGUCUAAUGUGACUUAUGUUUUAAAAGAUUUUCCUUCUAGGUGAUCAGCCGUUAAGAUCAAGUGUGAGAAAAGAAGGAAAAGGAAGCUAGGCGAGGAGGCUUGCAAGGAGUUUACUUAAAUUUGUUAUUGUUUGUAUCUAGAACUUAUUUGUAAAGGUGCAUGUAAAAUGUAUGGUUUAAGCUAAUAAAAGUUCAAGUUUGUAUUACCUUCCACUAUGUUAUGGUUCUCUAUUGCAUAGUAUUUUAAAAGUAUUUCAAGUUAUGUUUUAUCGCCUUAAGUUAAUGAUAUAAAUUGUAAGUUAAGUCAUUAGGCGAUUAACCAAAGCUUAAAGACUUAAGCUGAGCUUUCUAGUGUUUAAAUAUGUUGGGAAUGCUUAAGUCGUACAGCGUAACGCAACGCAUUAAGGUGCUUGAUUGCGGGACGAGAUGUGACAGUAUAAGUAAAAUAAAAUAAGAAACAAAAUUACUAGAAAAAGAAAGAAGAAAGUAAGAACAAACAAUGAAUAAAAAGGUAGAUAAACAAGAUAUGAAACAAUGUACAUAAAAAAUAAAUUUAUUAUAAGAAAAAGAAAAAGGUAGAAAUAGAAUGAUAAAAAAUAUGGAGAAAAAAUAUAAUAUUAAAUAACACAUAAAAAUAAGAAAAUACUCAAGAAACAACAAUGGAAAAAAGACUUAAAUAAAAAAAGUGCUAAUUAUAAAGAAAUUAAAAAUACAUAUAUAAGGAAUAAACUUUAAUAAUAAAUUAAGAAAAAGAAAGAAAUAAUAAUAAAUAAAUAAAAAGAGAUUUAACAAUAAGAUAUGGAGAAAUAUGUAUAAAUAAAUAAAUAAAAGAGAGAUUCACAAGCAAACAAAAAAAAAAUGUUGAAAUUCAAAACAUUGAAUGGAUCAUUAUUGGGCCAAAAUCCUACCAUACUUAGAGUUUUUUUCUUGUGUAUUGGAUUCAUGACAUUGUAGAGAGUUUUUUGGAGGAUGAUAAAGAUCUAGAGAUUUGUUAGAAGAGAAAACAAAGUAAAUGUGUAAUAUUUUGGUUUUUUUAGAAGAGACGAAGGCUAACAGAAGCAGAGGCUAUUGAGGUUAGAGGUUUGAAUGAAGAAGAGGGAUCGUGAAAGUUGAAAAAAUCUCUUGAAUUUUUUUUUGUUGUGUCUAC